Molecule: long non-coding RNA, 573 nt
Organism: Hyaena hyaena (striped hyena)
Lineage: Eukaryota; Metazoa; Chordata; Mammalia; Carnivora; Hyaenidae
Exons: 3
Source: RefSeq, a predicted model, not a curated record
ACCUACCAGGAGUGUAUUGAAUGCACGCUGCAUAGGAUGGACGAUAGUAGUUACUACAAGAAGCACACAGAUGAAGUCAUAGAAGGACCUCCUGCGCAAGAGGAAAUUACAAGGGUUUUAGAAGAUCCAUUCCAGGAACCAGAGACCAAGACCAAGUAUACGUAUUUCCCAAUAUCAUACCAACUCACUGUGAGAGACGACAACAGGAAGAACCUAUGGUAAUUUCUGACCUUGAGUCCCUUUGGCAAUCUUGACUGGGCUCCUACAUCUGGGAAAUAUCAAUUUCAUUUGGACUCAGGAACAUCUUCUACUUCAUCUAGAACUGGUUACUUCCCCAGCCAGCAGCGCGUCAAGGAAAAAUGGGAGAAAAUAUCAUCCAUUGUACAAAACAGCCAUUUUCAUGUCUAAGUAGUGUGGCUUUGGGUGAGUGAUACUGUCGUUAAAUAGUGGAACUGGAAAGCCCUUCUCAGCUCACAUAAUUUGCUAUUACAGACAAAAGAGCCAGGAUGAGACCUGAAACAGCUUACAGUAUUCACAUUUGUAGUGGGGCACCUGGCUGGCUAAGUUGGUAAA